RNAcentral lists this ribosomal RNA (464 nucleotides) under uncultured Klebsiella sp. RNAcentral describes it as "bacterial SSU rRNA". It matches the Rfam family "Bacterial small subunit ribosomal RNA", at positions 338 to 795 of the family's 1533-position model. The record is from RNAcentral. Lineage: Bacteria; Pseudomonadati; Pseudomonadota; Gammaproteobacteria; Enterobacterales; Enterobacteriaceae.
CCUACGGGAGGCAGCAGUGGGGAAUAUUGCACAAUGGGCGCAAGCCUGAUGCAGCCAUGCCGCGUGUGUGAAGAAGGCCUUCGGGUUGUAAAGCACUUUCAGCGGGGAGGAAGGCGGUGAGGUUAAUAACCUCAUCGAUUGACGUUACCCGCAGAAGAAGCACCGGCUAACUCCGUGCCAGCAGCCGCGGUAAUACGGAGGGUGCAAGCGUUAAUCGGAAUUACUGGGCGUAAAGCGCACGCAGGCGGUCGUCAAGUCGGAUGUGAAAUCCCCGGGCUCAACCUGGGAACUGCAUUCGAAACUGGCAUGCUAGAGUCUUGUAGAGGGGGGUAGAAUUCCAGGUGUAGCGGUGAAAUGCGUAGAGAUCUGGAGGAAUACCGGUGGCGAAGGCGGCCCCCUGGACAAAGACUGACGCUCAGGUGCGAAAGCGUGGGGAGCAAACAGGAUUAGAUACCCUUGUAGUC